AUACGAUUUACUUCCGGCCGCCAUAUAUUUAAGUACACAGAGCUCACGGUCGACGACACUGUUCCAUAUUUUAUCGAAAAUUUCAUAUAAACUAAUAAUUAACACUAAACAAAUUCAACAUCUUACUAUUUGUGUAGCUUGUCACAACUCACACGGUGGAUGAUAGCUCGUUCAAAUAUUUCAUUUUGCUUUUAGUGAUCCGCUGUAUUUCAUAUAGUUACCCGAAUUCUUACUGUCUACAUUACCUCGAGCAUCUGUAUCGGCCUCCGAGCGAAAAUUUCUCAAAAUUCAUCCUAAUCACUUGCUUGCGCCACUGUUUUAAAAUUUAUAUAAGAAUUCACCGUACUCGAAACAAUCUAAACGACGAUAUAAUGCAGGUCGUCCACAAGUUUAUCUAGUUAUCUAGUUUAUUUAUCUCCGCCUUUAUUUUAUGUAAUAAUAGGACGUAGGUAGCCUCCUCCAUAGCUUUCAUUCAAAUUGAGUUCACCUAUCUACUUGACGAUAUCUCAUUGUUUAACCUUCUCCCGACACGACAACCACAAUCCAUACAUACCAUCGAAAUCUAUCUCUCUAUCCUAUUUUUCGUGUUAUACAGAUGUCCCUCAGUGAUCUGAAAAAUGCAAUAACUUUUAUUUUGCACAAUAUUUUGAAGUUUGUUUUUAUUUUUGGUAGUAAUUAGGGCCUUGCCCUAUGGUUAAUAUAGUUUAGGUUCUGAAAGAAUCGAAGAAUUUAUUGGUUUUAUUAUGGUUUUGCUUAUUUUUUUUUUGCCGGUAAGCAACUUUUCUACCAGAAAUCAUGCUCCAAUCAAAAAAUGUAUUGAUACUUUCCUGUAGAAUUUUUUAUAUAGUUGG
Molecule: non-coding RNA, 851 nt
Organism: Cinara cedri
Lineage: Eukaryota; Metazoa; Arthropoda; Insecta; Hemiptera; Aphididae
Source: the annotation of a GenBank genome assembly